This 538-nucleotide ribosomal RNA is filed under the name fungal sp. ARIZ L272. RNAcentral's name for it is "eukaryotic LSU rRNA". The stretch from base 206 to 359 matches the Rfam family "5.8S ribosomal RNA". Lineage: Eukaryota; Fungi. The record is from RNAcentral.
AUCAUUACCGAGUUUACAACUCCCAAACCCAAUGUGAACGUUACCAAACUGUUGCCUCGGCGGGAUCUCUGCCCCGGGUGCGUCGCAGCCCCGGACCAAGGCGCCCGCCGGAGGACCAACCAAAACUCUUUUGUAUACCCCCUCGCGGGUUUUUUAUAUCUGAGCCAUCUCGGCGCCUCUCGUAGGCGUUUCGAAAAUGAAUCAAAACUUUCAACAACGGAUCUCUUGGUUCUGGCAUCGAUGAAGAACGCAGCGAAAUGCGAUAAGUAAUGUGAAUUGCAGAAUUCAGUGAAUCAUCGAAUCUUUGAACGCACAUUGCGCCCGCCAGUAUUCUGGCGGGCAUGCCUGUCCGAGCGUCAUUUCAACCCUCGAACCCCUCCGGGGGGUCGGCGUUGGGGAUCGGCCCUUUACGGGGCCGGCCCCGAAAUACAGUGGCGGUCUCGCCGCAGCCUCUCCUGCGCAGUAGUUUGCACACUCGCAUCGGGAGCGCGGCGCGUCCAUUGCCGUAAAACACCCAACUUUCUGAAAUGUUGACCUC